AGAGUUUGAUCCUGGCUCAGAACGAACGCUGGCGGCAGGCUUAACACAUGCAAGUCGAACGCCCCGCAAGGGGAGUGGCAGACGGGUGAGUAACGCGUGGGAAUCUACCCUUUACUACGGAAUAACGCAUGGAAACGUGUGCUAAUACCGUAUGUGUCCUUCGGGAGAAAGAUUUAUCGGUAAAGGAUGAGCCCGCGUUGGAUUAGCUAGUUGGUGGGGUAAAGGCCUACCAAGGCGACGAUCCAUAGCUGGUCUGAGAGGAUGAUCAGCCACAUUGGGACUGAGACACGGCCCAAACUCCUACGGGAGGCAGCAGUGGGGAAUAUUGGACAAUGGGCGCAAGCCUGAUCCAGCCAUGCCGCGUGAGUGAUGAAGGCCCUAGGGUUGUAAAGCUCUUUCACCGGAGAAGAUAAUGACGGAUCCGAGAAGAG
Molecule: ribosomal RNA, 431 nt
Filed under: uncultured bacterium
Lineage: Bacteria
Description: bacterial SSU rRNA
Rfam family: Bacterial small subunit ribosomal RNA
Source: RNAcentral